Molecule: long non-coding RNA, 1211 nt
Organism: Ictalurus punctatus (channel catfish)
Lineage: Eukaryota; Metazoa; Chordata; Actinopteri; Siluriformes; Ictaluridae
Source: Ensembl
CUCAGUUUCAACCACUUUACUGGUAAAAAUAAUAAUAAUAAUAAAUCGGCGUAUAUCCAUUUUUCCCUCAGAGGGACUGUGAGCUAGCAUUAGGCAGAAUUGAGAGCUGUCAGCCAAUAAGACACGAGCAUUUCCUGUAAACCCUGUCUGAUUGGUCUCACCUCCGUUCACUGAAGAUAUAAAAUCACAACACCGCCGUCUUCUUUUAGUGACGUUCAGUUACGUAGCGACAAACCGCUCCAAGUGGAGAAUCACUCAGGGCUAAAGAAAAACUCUUCGGGGAAAAACGAGAUUGAAACGUGAUUUAUUUUUAAAAUGCAUUUUACUUAAUAUUGUUUUCUUAACAAUAAAUUUGUCACGCAAGUAACGUAAUUUUACAGACAUCAGUAACUAUAAUCAAAUGACGUAAAUUUCAAAGAUAAUGCGUUACAUUACCGCGUUAUUAGAUUACAGUAACGUGUUACACCCAACCCUGGUCCUCGAUGUGUUAUUGUUUAAUCAGUCCGUACAGGAUUUCAGAGUUUUUUUGGAAUCUCGCCUAGGGUGCCAAAACGGCCAGAAACAGCCCUGCUUUUUAUUCCUAAACCUUCCAUCGACAGAACACGUUAAGUCCAAGUUAUCGUUAUUAAGUGUAUUCAAUUGACUGAGGUUUGGGAUUAAAACCCAUUCAAUUCACAGGACCAGUCAAUUAAACGAAUUGAUAGAACUCAGAAAUAAAUCGAACAGCUUUUGUAUAGGUGGGCUGUGAUUUCCGCAUCUGUAAUAAAAUCAAAUCAAAUAAAAAGAUCAACCUGGCUAUGCUUCACACACCCCUGGAAAUCCCCGGGCCCAGUUUUGACAAAUCCCCGCAUUUCACCAACAAAAGUUGCUAUCAAGCAGUUAUUAUACCAAGAUCAAAUCUCAACAAAUGUAGAAACCGAGAUAAAGAAAGCUGUUAUAAAACACCAGCUGAAAUUCCAAAAGCAUGAUCUGCGGUAAUACAAUAAAGUAGAGAGAUUUCUUAGAGAUAUCUGUGCUCUGGCUUGAUAGGAAAACUCUUAAAGUAAAAACACAUGCAGUUUGGUCUGAACUAGCAGUCACUUCGUGCAACUGCAAUGCAGUACUUGAAGCUUUUACCCACAAUCCAGUGCUUAAAUGAAAUGAAUUACUAUGUCUCAUUAAAGUUCAUCAGAAUAUAUAAGAUGCCUUCUAAUGCCUAGUCUCAGUCUCAG